RNAcentral lists this ribosomal RNA (434 nucleotides) under uncultured bacterium. RNAcentral describes it as "partial 16S ribosomal RNA". It matches the Rfam family "Bacterial small subunit ribosomal RNA", at positions 29 to 507 of the family's 1533-position model. The record is from RNAcentral.
AACGAACGCUGGCGGCAUGCCUAACACAUGCAAGUCGAACGAGAUCUUCGGGUCUAGUGGCGCACGGGUGCGUAACGCGUGGGAAUCUGCCCUCAGGUUCGGAAUAACCAUUGGAAACGAUGGCUAAUACCGGAUGAUGACGUUAAGUCCAAAGAUUUAUCGCCUGAGGAUGAGCCCGCGUAGGAUUAGCUAGUUGGUGUGGUAAAGGCGCACCAAGGCGACGAUCCUUAGCUGGUCUGAGAGGAUGAUCAGCCACACUGGGACUGAGACACGGCCCAGACUCCUACGGGAGGCAGCAGUGGGGAAUAUUGGACAAUGGGCGAAAGCCUGAUCCAGCAAUGCCGCGUGAGUGAUGAAGGCCUUAGGGUUGUAAAGCUCUUUUACCCGGGAUGAUAAUGACAGUACCGGGAGAAUAAGCUCCGGCUAACUCCGUG